UUGGAGGUUGUGCCCUUGAGGCGUGGCUUCCGGAGCUAACGCGUUAAGUAGACCGCCUGGGGAGUACGGCCGCAAGGUUAAAACUCAAAUGAAUUGACGGGGGCCCGCACAAGCGGUGGAGCAUGUGGUUUAAUUCGAUGCAACGCGAAGAACCUUACCUGGUCUUGACAUCCACAGAACUUUCCAGAGAUGGACUGGUGCCUUCGGGAACUGUGAGACAGGUGCUGCAUGGCUGUCGUCAGCUCGUGUUGUGAAAUGUUGGGUUAAGUCCCGCAACGAGCGCAACCCUUAUCCUUUGUUGCCAGCGAUUAGGUCGGGAACUCAAAGGAGACUGCCAGUGAUAAACUGGAGGAAGGUGGGGAUGACGUCAAGUCAUCAUGGCCCUUACGACCAGGGCUACACACGUG
RNAcentral lists this ribosomal RNA (407 nucleotides) under Salmonella enterica subsp. enterica serovar Kentucky. Its description in RNAcentral is "bacterial SSU rRNA". It matches the Rfam family "Bacterial small subunit ribosomal RNA", at positions 817 to 1224 of the family's 1533-position model. Lineage: Bacteria; Pseudomonadati; Pseudomonadota; Gammaproteobacteria; Enterobacterales; Enterobacteriaceae. The record is from RNAcentral.